ACUCAAAUGAAUUGACGGGGGCCCGCACAAGCGGAGGAACAUGUGGUUUAAUUCGAUGAUACGCGAGGAACCUUACCUGGGCUCGAACGCUGGGGGAAUAUAGGAGAAAUCUUAUAGCUAGCAAUAGCCGCCAGCGAGGUGCUGCAUGGUUGUCGUCAGCUCGUGCCGUGAGGUGUCGGCUUAAGUGCCAUAACGAGCGCAACCCUUAUCAUUAGUUGCCAGCGGGUAAAGCCGGGGACUCUAAUGAAACUGCCAGCGUAAGCUGUGAGGAAGGUGGGGAUGACGUCAAAUCAGCACGGCCCUUACGUCCAGGGCUACACACGUGUUACAAUGGGUGGUACAGAGGGCAGCUACUCCGCGAGGAGAUGCUAAUCUUCAAAGCCAUUCACAGUUCGGAUUGGAGUCUGCAACUCGACUCUAUGAAGCUGGAUUCGCUAGUAAUCGCGCAUCAGCCACGGCGCGGUGAAUACGUUCCCGGGCCUUGUACACACCGCCCGU
Molecule: ribosomal RNA, 498 nt
Filed under: uncultured bacterium
Lineage: Bacteria
Description: partial 16S ribosomal RNA
Rfam family: Bacterial small subunit ribosomal RNA
Source: RNAcentral